GAUGAACGCUGGCGGCGUGCCUUAUACAUGCAAGUCGAGCGAACGGACGAGAUGCUUUCUUCUCUUAUUUUAGCGGCGGACGGGUGAGUAACAUGCGGAUAACCUAGCUAUUUGACUGGGAUUACUUUGGGAAACCGUACCUAAUACCGGAUUAUUCUUUGAACCGCAUGGUUCGAGAGUUAAAGACGUUCCUCUUGUCACUUAUCCAUUGUUCCGGGCUGUAUUAGCUAGUUGGUAAGGUAACGGCUUACCAAGGCAACGAUGCAUAGCCGACCUGAGAGGGUGAUCGGCCACACUGGAACUGAGACACGGUCCAGACUCCUACGGGAGGCAGCAGUAGGGAAUCUUCCGCAAUGGGCGAAAGCCUGACGGAGCAACGCCGCGUGAGUGAUGAAGGUCUUCGGAUCGUAAAGCUCUGUUAUCAGGGAAGAAAAUAUAUGUAAGUAACUAGGCAGAGCAUGACGGUACCAAAACAGAAAGCAACGGCUAACUACGUG
RNAcentral lists this ribosomal RNA (497 nucleotides) under uncultured bacterium. RNAcentral describes it as "partial 16S ribosomal RNA". It matches the Rfam family "Bacterial small subunit ribosomal RNA", at positions 28 to 507 of the family's 1533-position model. The record is from RNAcentral.